Molecule: long non-coding RNA, 849 nt
Organism: Spea bombifrons (plains spadefoot toad)
Lineage: Eukaryota; Metazoa; Chordata; Amphibia; Anura; Pelobatidae
Exons: 3
Source: RefSeq, a predicted model, not a curated record
GCAGCAGUAAACAAUGAUAUGCUGUGGCCUCUGAUUUUGGGAAUAUUUUUUGGCAUCAUAAGUACUGGAAUCAUUUGUUGCUUUGGCAUAAUAAGACUCAAAAUAUCAUUGUGUCCUGCUCUUCCGGAUCCUAACGACAGCAGUGCAACAAAGUUUGCUUCAGAUGAGAAGAAACAAAUUCCUCAUCACGUGUGUGAAAGCUAUGAAAAUGGGCAUACAGGUCCUCUGAUUGUAGAACCACGGACAGAAGAUGGUCCUCCUGAAAUAGUUAGCAGGGAAAGUUUUGUUAACCAUUGGACUUUAACAAUGGACCAAACAGAGAAUGAUAAUCUGGUAACGUCUGAAUUGGGAGAUCUCCCAUUUGAGUAUAGAAUGCAAAUGAUUGUAGCCUCCCCUGGAAAUGAAAAGAGGCACAUGAACCCUAUUUUUUUUCAGCCAGUUCAGCAAGGUCACAUGGCACAAUAACAUGAUUCAUUCUUAGUAGUAUCACCCUGAAGUGAUGGAAACAGAAUGGAGUUGUUUAAACCUCAAGCUCUUGAAGUAGCUCAUUUUAUUUUGGAUUUGUUUACAGGUAGAGUCUUAAGGAGAUUAACAGAUGUUCAACAAACAUAUGCUUUAGUAUAGUUUAUCCACAUAAAUUACAAUAUGAUACUCACUGCCUUUUAAUUUUCUUUUUGCUACUUUUAUUAUUCUUCAAUGUUUUUUCUGUUUAUGUGGCCAAUAAAAAUAAAGUGAGUGCAAAAAAGCAAAAUCACUAUCAAAACAAAAAAAGCAGUCAAAAGAAGCAAGUAGCUAAUAUAAAGUAUUUGUCACAUUGAUCACAUAGUUUAAUAAAGGCUCUCUACUGCA